This is a small nuclear RNA of Peromyscus eremicus (cactus mouse), 104 nucleotides long. The record is from RefSeq and is a predicted model, not a curated record. Lineage: Eukaryota; Metazoa; Chordata; Mammalia; Rodentia; Cricetidae.
CAUCUCAGAAGCACAGACAUUAGGCUGACGUUGGAAUGAUAGGGACAUUAGCACGGCCCCUGGGUAAGGAUGGCAUGUAAACACGUGCAAUGUUCCACAUUUUU